AGUGAACGCUGGCGGUAGGCCUAACACAUGCAAGCCGAACGGCAGCACAGUAAGAGCUUGCUCUUACGGGUGGCGAGUGGCGGACGGGUGAGGAAUACAUCGGAAUCUACUUUUUCGUGGGGGAUAACGUAGGGAAACUUACGCUAAUACCGCAUACGACCUACGGGUGAAAGCAGGGGAUCUUCGGACCUUGCGCGAUUGAAUGAGCCGAUGUCGGAUUAGCUAGUUGGCGGGGUAAAGGCCCACCAAGGCGACGAUCCGUAGCUGGUCUGAGAGGAUGAUCAGCCACACUGGAACUGAGACACAGUCCAGACUCCUACGGGAGGCAGCAGUGGGGAAUAUUGGACAAUGGGCGCAAGCCUGAUCCAGCCAUACCGCGUGGGUGAAGAAGGCCUUCGGGUUGUAAAGCCCUUUUGUUGGGAAAGAAAAGCAGCAGGUUAAUACCCCGCUGUUCUGACGGUACCCAAAGAAUAAGCACCGGCUAACUUCGUG
This 492-nucleotide ribosomal RNA is filed under the name uncultured bacterium. RNAcentral's name for it is "partial 16S ribosomal RNA". It matches the Rfam family "Bacterial small subunit ribosomal RNA", at positions 29 to 507 of the family's 1533-position model. The record is from RNAcentral.